UCGGGAAUUUUGGGCAAUGGGGGAAACCCUGACCCAGCAACGCCGCGUGAAGGAUGAAGUAUUUCGGUAUGUAAACUUCGAAAGAAUAGGAAGAAUAAAUGACGGUACUAUUUAUAAGGUCCGGCUAACUACGUGCCAGCAGCCGCGGUAAUACGUAGGGGCCAAGCGUUGUUCGGAUUUACUGGGCGUAAAGGGCGCGUAGGCGGCAUGACAAGUCACUUGUGAAAUCUCUGGGCUUAACCCAGAACGGCCAAGUGAUACUGUCGCGCUAGAGUGCAGAAGGGGCAAUCGGAAUUCUUGGUGUAGCGGUGAAAUGCGUAGAUAUCAAGAGGAACACCUGAGGUGAAGACGGGUUGCUGGGCUGACACUGACGCUGAGGCGCGAAAGCCAGGGGAGCAAACGGGAUUAGAUACCCUUGUAGUCCCUGAGCGGGCUGGCAAGGCGCAU
RNAcentral lists this ribosomal RNA (447 nucleotides) under uncultured bacterium. RNAcentral describes it as "bacterial SSU rRNA". It matches the Rfam family "Bacterial small subunit ribosomal RNA", at positions 355 to 825 of the family's 1533-position model. The record is from RNAcentral.